Molecule: long non-coding RNA, 1086 nt
Filed under: Homo sapiens (human)
Lineage: Eukaryota; Metazoa; Chordata; Mammalia; Primates; Hominidae
Description: HSALNT0359701
Source: RNAcentral
AAAAUGGUACAGCUACUUCAAUUUAUAGGAAAGGUCCAGAAUAUGCAAAUUUGUAGAAGCAGAAAGUAGAUUCAUGGUUGCUUAGGGCUACAAGGAGGGUUAGGGAAGAAUAGGGAGUGACUGCUAUUGGGUAUAGGGUUUCUUUCAGGGGGAACACAAUAUUCUAAAGUUAGAUUGUGAUGAUGGUUGUACAACCCUAUGAUUAUACCAGAAAACAUGAACUGUACACUUUAAGUGGAUGAACUGUAUCAUAUAUAAAUGAUUAUGGCCUCCUUGGCCCCAGCAGUUUUUGAGCAAGCUGCUUUCUCCAACCAGUUCCACACAGAAUUAAUGUGGUGAUUCCCAGGGUGAUUCACUCACCAAGAAAACUUUUCUAAAGCUUGCAUAUGUUAGCAAUGCUGAUGGCAGUAGGAAAAGGAGCUCACUGGGCCAUGGACUAUCCUAUAAAUUACAGAAGCUGGAGUUUCAGGAGCUUCUGGAGAGAGAGGGCUCUGUGGUGCAAUACCACAAAAGGUGGCAGAGAUGACGAGUGAGACUGGUGCUGAAGGGCACAUGCUCAGGAAGGACUGACCCUACCUGGAGACUAAAGCCUUCAGUUUAAGAUGGAACAAGCAGGGAUGAAAGAAGACAGUUUCGUAACACUAGUCUUCAGAGAGCUACCAAACUGGUGCUUUAAAUGUCUACCAACGGGGAGACGACCUGACAUCCUGUUUGACAAAGGAAAUCAAUACAGUGAUGCGGCCCUGGCAAGUCAAAAACACUGGAGAUUGGAAUUUUCUUCAAAAUGCCUAGUCCUUGGUGAAUAAAUGCUGUCUCUAACCAUCUGCUGCUGACACUUGAAGAAAGAAUUACAACCAAACUGACCUUCAUCCCGGAGAUUUACAACCAAGGGGAACAAGCUUUUCCCUUCUGUUUCCAACACCUAUGGUCUGAUAACCUAGCUACUCCAAAUGUAGCUUUCCAGCACUGAACUGGGAGAAUAAAUAUUAAAGUUAGUAUUUAGAUUAUUUAGAUUGUGUUAUUUGCCACCAUUUACCAUAUACACUCUGAAUUCUUGAAAAAAGAACCUAAAAUCUCAAGGUGGGC